RNAcentral lists this ribosomal RNA (254 nucleotides) under uncultured bacterium. RNAcentral describes it as "partial 16S ribosomal RNA". It matches the Rfam family "Bacterial small subunit ribosomal RNA", at positions 524 to 777 of the family's 1533-position model. The record is from RNAcentral.
GACGAACCGUGCGAACGUUGUUCGGAAUCACUGGGCUUAAAGGGCGCGUAGGCGGUCUGCCAAGUCCGGGGUGAAAGCCCCCAGCUCAACUGGGGAAGUGCCUUGGAUACUGGCGGACUUGAGGGAGGCAGGGGUUGUGGGAACUUCCGGUGGAGCGGUGAAAUGCGUUGAUAUCGGAAGGAACGCCGGUGGCGAAAGCGCACAACUGGUCCUCUUCUGACGCUGAGGCGCGAAAGCCAGGGGAGCAAAGCGGG